AUGAUGAAGACGGGAUAUUAUGACAAGUGGUGAAGAUACGAACCCCUCUGA
RNAcentral lists this small nucleolar RNA (51 nucleotides) under Pyrobaculum islandicum DSM 4184. RNAcentral describes it as "PISsR102". Lineage: Archaea; Thermoproteati; Thermoproteota; Thermoprotei; Thermoproteales; Thermoproteaceae. The record is from RNAcentral.